CUGAACCUCUGAUUGAUCACCUGAGGCCAGCACUGAGUCAGCCACGGGAGCACAGGUGAAGGCAAUUCAGCUGUGCUGCCAGAAGGGAUGGAGCCUGGCUGCACCUCUCCUAGACCCAUUUAAGAGCUGACCACCAGGGGGGAGGAUCUCUUCUGGAGGUCUACUCCACUUGAGUUUCCUAAAUGAGCCUGGGUUAUGGGUUUUCAGUCAUGAAAAGUGAAAAUUCAUGGUUGAAAUGCUGGGGCCCUUUCCCCUUCAAGUCUGGUCAUAGUUAUAACUUCUGUGCACAAUUUCAUCAAGACACUUUUCCUCUGCUCUGCCCCUCAGGAGGUGUUUUGUCCUCUCUCCUGGUUGUGCGCAGAGGAAGCACAACUGUUUGUUGGUGACAUUUCUGGUGACAUUUCUCCCAUGGGCCCAGUAGCAGAGCUUCAGGUGCCCUCUGCUGCUGUUCAUUCUGUUCUGCUGCAACCUCACCUGAGCAACGCUUCCCUUUGGCUUCCUGGCAUGGGGAAAAGGUCACCAAGAAAAGAGAGGACUUUAAAGAUGUAUCCAGAAACUCUUAAUGCUUCUGAGUAAUGAGUCAUGGAACUGUGAGGGAAAAAAAGUAAAGGGAAAGCAAGACCUACAAAAACUUGGUGCCGUUUAAAUGUCAGGCAGAUUUUCAACAGGGCUUCGUUAAUGAAAUACCAUUUUCCCAACUGAUGCUGUGUAAACAGCAUUUUGUCUUCAGAAAUCCUGAUGGAGUACUGAUAGUCCAGCUGAGGUAUAUCAGAAAUACUUUUCCCUCCUGCCACAGCUAAUGAACAAUGAAUUCCCUCUAGGUUCAUGCAGGGAACAUCAUUUCCUCUGCGUCCAAGUGCUCACCCUGAGUACUGGUGUGGGAGGAUAGCACUGAAUGGCCCAAAGGGAAA
Long non-coding RNA from Lagopus muta (rock ptarmigan), 911 nucleotides. RefSeq lists it as uncharacterized. Lineage: Eukaryota; Metazoa; Chordata; Aves; Galliformes; Phasianidae. The transcript is spliced from 3 exons. The record is from RefSeq and is a predicted model, not a curated record.